Molecule: unclassified non-coding RNA, 260 nt
Filed under: Hevea brasiliensis (rubber tree)
Lineage: Eukaryota; Viridiplantae; Streptophyta; Magnoliopsida; Malpighiales; Euphorbiaceae
Source: RNAcentral
ACAGAAAGGGAAAUUAGCUGCCUGAGCUUUUCCAUUCUCAACAACAGCGUUGAAUAGGGUGGAUUUUCCGACGUUAGGGAGACCAACGAUGCCGGCUUUCAAGCUCAUACUUAUCUUCGAAGAAGAGGAAAACCACCUGUUGAUCCCUAAAGCACCCAUAAAUUGGGAGCUCUUAGCGAACAGAGAAGAAUUAGUGCAGAGAAAUGAUGAUGGUGAUUUCGAUGGAAGAAGAGGUAAGGCGGGGAUUAGGUUACUGCAAG